GAGUGUAUAGCUCAAGUGGUAGAGGCAUGCUUAGCAUGCAUGAGGUCCUGGGUUCAAUCCCCAGUACCUCCA
This is a transfer RNA of Camelus ferus (Wild Bactrian camel), 72 nucleotides long. It matches the Rfam family "tRNA". From Rfam's summary of the family: Transfer RNA (tRNA) molecules are approximately 80 nucleotides in length. The record is from Rfam. Lineage: Eukaryota; Metazoa; Chordata; Mammalia; Artiodactyla; Camelidae.